This 368-nucleotide ribosomal RNA is filed under the name uncultured bacterium. RNAcentral describes it as "bacterial SSU rRNA". It matches the Rfam family "Bacterial small subunit ribosomal RNA", at positions 28 to 412 of the family's 1533-position model. The record is from RNAcentral.
GACGAACGCUGGCGGCGUGCCUAAUGCAUGCAAGUCGCACGCACGGAGCUUGCUCCGUGAGUGGCGCACGGCUGAGGAUCACGUGGGAACAUGCCUCCUUAGUGGGGGACAACACCGCGAAAGCGGUGCUAAUCCCGCAUACGCUCGUGCAAACGAGGAAAGCGGUAACGCGCAGGGAGAGUGGCCCGCGGCCCAUCAGGUCGUUGGUGGGGUAAUGGCCUACCAAGCCAAUGACGGGUAGCUGGUCUGUGAGGACAGACAGCCAGACUGGGACUGAGACACGGCCCAGACUCCUACGGGAGGCAGCAGCAAGGAAUUUUUCGUCAAUGGGCGCAAGCCUGAACGAGCAACGCCGCGUGGAGGAUGAC